UACGAAGGGGGCUAGCGUUGCUCGGAAUCACUGGGCGUAAAGCGCACGUAGGCGGACUCUUAAGUCGGUGGUGAAAUCCUGGAGCUCAACUCCAGAACUGCCUUCGAUACUGAGAGUCUCGAGUCCGGGAGAGGUGAGUGGAAUUGCGAGUGUAGAGGUGAAAUUCGUAGAUAUUCGCAAGAACACCAGUGGCGAAGGCGACUUACUGGACACAUAUUGACGCUGAGGUGCGAAAGCGUGGGGAGCAAACAGG
RNAcentral lists this ribosomal RNA (253 nucleotides) under uncultured bacterium. Its description in RNAcentral is "partial 16S ribosomal RNA". It matches the Rfam family "Bacterial small subunit ribosomal RNA", at positions 524 to 776 of the family's 1533-position model. The record is from RNAcentral.